This 497-nucleotide ribosomal RNA is filed under the name uncultured bacterium. Its description in RNAcentral is "partial 16S ribosomal RNA". It matches the Rfam family "Bacterial small subunit ribosomal RNA", at positions 28 to 507 of the family's 1533-position model. The record is from RNAcentral.
GACGAACGCUGGCGGCGUGCCUAAUACAUGCAAGUUGAGCGCUGAAGGUUGGUACUUGUACCCACUGGAUGAGCAGCGAACGGGUGAGUAACGCGUGGGGAAUCUGCCUUUGAGCGGGGGACAACAUUUGGAAACGAAUGCUAAUACCGCAUAAAACCUUUAAACACAAGUUUUAAGUUUGAAAGAUGCAAUUGCAUCACUCAAAGAUGAUCCCGCGUUGUAUUAGCUAGUUGGUGAGGUAAAGGCUCACCAAGGCGAUGAUACAUAGGCGACCUGAGAGGGUGAUCGGCCACAUUGGGACUGAGACACGGCCCAAACUCCUACGGGAGGCAGCAGUAGGGAAUCUUCGGCAAUGGACGAAAGUCUGACCGAGCAACGCCGCGUGAGUGAAGAAGGUUUUCGGAUCGUAAAACUCUGUUGGUAGAGAAGAACGUUGGUGAGAGUGGAAAGCUCAUCAAGUGACGGUAACUACCCAGAAAGGGACGGCUAACUACGUG